GGUGCGUUUGAUUAUAUUUUUUGAUUUUUAAUUUUUAAAAAAUAUUUUUUAUUUUUUUAAUUUUUAUUAUUCAGUAAAAAUAAAAAAGUAAAAAGUAUAUUUGGUAACUACGUUGCUAUAGAGCAAAAAGCAAUGUUCUCGAUGAGGGAGGAAGAUUCGGAUUCUGUAUUUUUUGGUUUGGCAUUUUAGAUACGUAGAAGC
Molecule: long non-coding RNA, 201 nt
Filed under: Elaeis guineensis (African oil palm)
Lineage: Eukaryota; Viridiplantae; Streptophyta; Magnoliopsida; Arecales; Arecaceae
Description: long non-coding RNA (EGUI_LNC007460)
Source: RNAcentral